UCUUUCCUUACAGAGCCCCACAGGCAGCCCCGUGCAGGCCCUGCCAGUGAGUCCAGGGUUUUAUUUCAAGCCGUCCUUCCCCGUCAAGCUCAUCGCCUGCGUUUGGCCACACACUCGCAGCUCUCCGAGCACAGCUGGUUUUUUCCUCUUUGUUUACUCUUUCAACAAAAGCUGGAUUCUAGACCAAGCUGUUAAGUCCUGGAGAUGCAGAAAGGAACAAGACAAACACAGGCUCAGCCCUCCAAAGCUUUCAGCCCUGAUCUGCGCCUGACAGACUGUGUCUUGUUCCCCAUCUAUCUUCCUUAACACAGCCCACCAGGGCAGGGCUUUGUCGAUUUUGUUCACGGCUGUUUCUCCAGUGACUGUCCCUCAAAAGAGGCUCAACAAACAGUGAAGGGAUGAACGGACGGAAAAAGGUUCUUGUGUGCGAAUGCCAUUCCUGCCCUAUGCCAGCUGAGUGAGCUUGGCUGAGUUAUUGCUCCUCUCUGAGCCUCAGUUUCUUUUUCUGAAAACAGAAACAAGACCGACCACAAAGUGACUGAGCCAGUUAACCCAGGCAAGAGGUGAGAACACCUGUUCCCCCCGGGGGAGACGAUGAGCAUCACCUCCCUCCGCCCUUUCUCCCCACAGCCUCUGAUUUAAUGCAGGGGAGGGCGGUGGGGGUCAUCUGAGCCUGUCCAGGCAGGAGCAGGUUCCUUUCCACUCCGCCCGCCCCAGCCUGGUCCCAGGGGCUCACGCAGCCGAGCAGAGCAGGAGAGAUGGGCUGAAACAGGCUGGAUUGAUUUCCUGCCUUCCCAGCAAAGUGCUCUAAGAUGGUGUACAUCCAUCACCUCAUUUUCCUCACGAAGACCAGGUGACAACCCAGAUGGACGGAGAUGCAUGAGCCUCUCCCUGGUAUGAAAAUCUAAUCCCGAGCAUUCAGUGGGGAAGUGGGACAAAAUCAAGGACAGGCAAGAUAGAAAGAAGGAGGGCAGAAAGGAAGAAAGGCUGGCCUACCUCUGGAUGAGCCUGGGGGAGAAGACCCACCAGCAGCUGAUGCGAACACACCCAUGGCCAUUGCCAGGAGCCUCCGGUCUCAAUGGGGAUGGUGACACCUAGACUACUGGGCAACGACCCUGGGGUUUCUAGCCCAAUUCAGGGAUGGGAAAUGAGAAGUCUCUCCCCUAUCCACCUUCCUGCUGCCCCCCUUCUGCCAAGAGGUGCAUCCAGCACACAUUUAACUCCAAUUUCAACUUAAACUGCAGCUGCCGUCCUGCCUGGGGACCCCUAUCUUUUUACAUGUUAUUGUAGAUCAGUGGCCCGCUGCUGCAAUCAAGAACUCUCGAUGGGCUGUCUGGAAUUUCUAAAUCAGCGCUGCCGAGAGCCCGGCGGAUCAAGCAGGCGGGCUCCCCGGCGGGGGUGAGAAGUGCUCAACUCCAGCAGACGACUGCGAGGCCCUGGGCUCCUGAGAGCAGCCCCCAAAGGUCAGCUCAAGGAGGAGACUGGCCUCCCUGCUCUGAGGGCAACGGAUGCACACUGUGGCCUCAGGGGCUCCCCCAGCAUCCUUUAGCCCAGAUGCUAAACAACUCAUCAGCCUUCUCUAAUGACUUUGGUUCCCAGCAUUGUCCUUGCAAUUACGGGGCAGAGACGAGAGGGGCAGAUGGUCAGGUAUUCGAUCAGCCAUCAUCGAACUGAAGCACUCAGACCCCUGGGGUACAUAGUGACUUUCUAGGGUUCACAGGCACAGACAGUUUGCAGAUAAUCGAUUUCCAGACCUUUGACUGACGUGCGUGCUCCGUGGGUUCUUCCUUUCCACAUCCUCUUUUACAAAUGCCCUUCUUCCACUUUAUAAAAGAAGGAUUGAUCAGUCGGGACUCCAGCAGGAAACAGAUGGCACACCCACAUUUGCUAAUUUCAGGCUAGGUUCAUAAAGGCACGACACAGAACCUGCAGGCAAGAUGAAGGGAAAUUACAAAGGACAGG
This 1962-nucleotide long non-coding RNA is filed under the name Equus caballus (horse). Its description in RNAcentral is "lncRNA (ENSECAG00000048520.1)". Lineage: Eukaryota; Metazoa; Chordata; Mammalia; Perissodactyla; Equidae. The record is from RNAcentral.